UCAAGCUACUAAGGGUUAAUGGUGGAUGCCUUGGUGCGGAAAGGCGAUGAAGGACGUGGCAAGCUGCGAAAAGCCUCGGGGAGCUGCAAGCGAGCGAAGAUCCGUGGAUGUCCGAAUGGGGAAACCCGUUACGGUGAAAGCCGUAUCAUCCUUAUAUGAAUAUAUAGUAUAAGGAAGCGAACUCAGGGAAGUGAACCAUCUCAGUACCUGAAGGAAGAGAAAGAAAAAUCGAUUUCCCGAGUAGCGGCGAGCGAAAGGGAAAGAGCCUAAACCAAUUACACUUCGGUGUAGUCGGGGUUGUGGGACCUGACAUAAUAUCUGAAAACCUAGUCGAAUCGUUCUGGAAAGGCGAUCCAUAGGGGGUGAAAGACCCGUAGACGAAAGGCGGAAGGAAGGGUUGGGUAUCCCAAGUACCACGGGACACGAGAAAUCUUGUGGGAAUCAGCGAGGACCAUCUCGCAAGGCUAAAUACUCAUCCGCAACCGAUAGUGAACUAGUACCGUGAGGGAAAGGUGAAAAGAACUCCUGCGAGGAGAGUGAAAUAGUACCUGAAACCAUUAACCUACAAGCGGUCGGAGCCUCGAUUUAUCGGGGUGACGGCGUGCCUUUUGCAUAAUGAGCCGGCUAGUUGUUCUAAGCAGCGAGGUUAAUCUGAAAAUAAAGAGGAGCCGAAGGGAAACCGAGUCUUAAUAGGGCGUAUAGUUGUUUGGAGCAGACGCGAAGCUGAGUGAUCUAUCCUUGGCCAGGGUGAAGCUUAUGUAACAGUAAGUGGAGGCCCGAACCUGUUUGGGUUGAAAACCGAUUGGAUGAGCCGAGGAUAGGGGUGAAAGGCCAAUCAAACUCAGUUAUAGCUCGUUCUCCCCGAAAUAGCUUUAGGGCUAGCCUCUCGUGAUGAGUAACGGUGGUAGGGAUCUGAAUGGACUAGGGGCCCUAAAAGGUUACUGAAUCCAACCAAACUUCGAAUGCCGUUAACUGCUAACGAGGGAGUCAGACUACGUGGGAUAAACUUCGUGGUCAAAAGGGAAACAGCCCAGACCGCCAGCUAAGGUCCCGAAAUUUAGGCUAAGUGGGAAAGGAUGUGGAGACGCCCAUACAACCAGGAGGUUGGCUUAGAAGCAGCCAUCCUUUAAAGAAAGCGUAACAGCUCACUGGUCGAGCGGCUCCGUGCCGAUAAUGUAACGGGGCUCAAGCCUAAUACCGAAGCUGCGGAAUGUCUUCGGACAUUGGUAGGGGAGCAUUCUAUUCAGGAGUGAAGGUGGACCGUGAGGACCACUGGACCGGAUGGAAGAGACUCUGCCGGCAUAAGUAGCGAUAAGGCAGGUGAGAAACCUGCCCGCCGAAAGUCUAAGGUUUCCUGAGGAAGGUUAAUCCGCUCAGGGUUAGUCGGUCCCUAAGCCGAGGUCGAAAGGCGUAGGCGAUGGAAAGCAGGUUAAUAUUCCUGCACUACCGGGAAAGCGUUUGAGCGAUGGGGUGACGCAGUAGGAUAGGCAUACAUGCGAUUGGAAGUGCAUGGCCGCAAUCGUAGGGGGGCUGGCUAGGUAAAUCCGGCUGGCUAUUAAACCCUGAGGAACGUGGGGAAGUGCGCCUUCGGGCAAACCAACUUGUUGAUUCCACACUGCCAAGAAAAACCUCUAGUGAAUUUUCCAGGUAACCGUACCCUAAACCGACACAGGUAGACAAGGAGAGAAUCCUAAGGCGCUUGAGAGAACUCUUGCUAAGGAACUCGGCAAAUUAACCCCGUAACUUCGGAAGAAGGGGUGCCCCGUUAGAGUGAUUCUUUAACUUGAUGAGCUCGAGGGGGUUGCAGAGAAAUGGCCCAGGCGACUGUUUACUAAAAACAUAGGACUCUGCUAAGUCGAAAACGACGUAUAGGGUCUGACGCCUGCCCGGUGCCGGAAGGUUAAAAGGAGGGGUUAGCUUCUUCGGAAGCGAAGCUCUGAAUUGAAGCCCCGGUAAACGGCGGCCGUAACUAUAACGGUCCUAAGGUAGCGAAAUUCCUUGUCGGGUAA
RNAcentral lists this ribosomal RNA (2009 nucleotides) under marine sediment metagenome. RNAcentral's name for it is "bacterial LSU rRNA". It matches the Rfam family "Bacterial large subunit ribosomal RNA", at positions 3 to 1979 of the family's 2925-position model. The record is from RNAcentral.